GUGAUAUAUAUUUAACGGCCGCGGUACUCUGACCGUGCAAAGGUAGCAUAAUCAUUUGCCUUAUAAUUGAAGGCUAGUAUGAAUGGUUUGACGAAAACAAUACUGUCUCUCUCUAAUUUUAUAGAACUUGAUUUUUAGGUGAAGAAGCCUAAAUAAAAUUGAAAGACAAGAAGACCCUAUCGAGCUUAAAAAAAUUUUGUUAAAAUAAAAUGACUAUAAAAGAACAUCUGUACCAAAAAAUUUUAGUUGGGGCGACUAAGGAACAUACAAAGCUUCCAUCACAGUAAUAAAGGCUUUUUAGCUAUGAUCCAAAAUCUUUGAUUAAAAGAAUUAGUUACCGUAGGGAUAACAGCAUAAUCUUUUUUGAGAGUUCUUAUCGAAAAAAAGGUUUGUGACCUCGAUGUUGGACUAGAAUAUCCUAAAUGAUGCAGAAGUC
Molecule: ribosomal RNA, 436 nt
Filed under: Potamopyrgus antipodarum
Lineage: Eukaryota; Metazoa; Mollusca; Gastropoda; Littorinimorpha; Tateidae
Description: partial large subunit ribosomal RNA
Rfam family: Bacterial large subunit ribosomal RNA
Source: RNAcentral